Molecule: long non-coding RNA, 320 nt
Filed under: Amphibalanus amphitrite
Lineage: Eukaryota; Metazoa; Arthropoda; Thecostraca; Balanomorpha; Balanidae
Description: uncharacterized LOC122380833, transcript variant X6
Source: RNAcentral
AGAACGGCGCAUUUGAUUCGAAUGAUCAACUCCGAAAUUCUGUUCGGUUUAGGAAAUUGUUACGUCCACUAACAGCGCGCCCAAAAGUGCGCCCAUGUAAAAUAAUACAGCACGAAUGCGUUGCCAUGGGCUAAUCCUGAGAAGACAUCAUAACUGCGGCAAUAUGACAACCAAAAUGCACUUGUUAUUGCGGUCUGCUUCGUUUCUUCAGCAAAAUCUACGCCAGCCAGCAAGUCCGAAAUGUCUCCACCGAGCCACGCAGAUGGUUCGUCUUUGUAGUACUCAGGCCGGAAAGGUCCACGACACAGCACCAGGUGAGU